Mus musculus (house mouse) is the source of this 647-nucleotide long non-coding RNA. RefSeq annotates it as predicted gene, 46870. The record is from RefSeq and is a predicted model, not a curated record. The transcript has 3 exons. Lineage: Eukaryota; Metazoa; Chordata; Mammalia; Rodentia; Muridae.
AGCAGGAAGAGCUGGGGCCAGCUGCAUGUAGAGCACAGAGGGCAGACUGAUAUUCAAGUAGGACGGAGGAAUAUGAGGGAGGCGGAGGUUUUGGCGGUCCUUGAGGAUAGGUGAGUACAAAGGCCACAGAGAUGAGGAGAUAGCUCCUCAGAUGGUUAAGAGUUGUGUCCAAGGGGACACAAGGUCUAGGGGAGAGUUCCUAGCCCUAGUUGUUUAACAAAAAUGUUAGGUUUCCACCAGCCCGGUUAACUCACACCCAUGAAUCCAUUCCUACCAGUGUUUCUGCUUGGGGGCUUUUGUCCCGCGCAUCCCGCAGCGAAGGAUGCACUCCGCAGCCCUCUCUCACUCUCCACCUUCGGGCAAACCCUGGGGUUAAUUCUUCCCUCUCCCCCCACCCCCCCAAAGCAGGGGUGUCGCCCAGCUUUGUGCGCCCAGGUGCUGGAGGCGAGAGCCAGGGGACAGCUGAGGACUACCUACCCCUUGGCCGUCCCUUGAUGCUUCAGAUCUGGGCCUGCAGCCUGCUAUUAGGGCUCCACCCAGUAUGGAAGGAGAGUCUCCUGGCUCCUCCAGAUCAAGAUGUAGGACUCUUGGCUCCUCCAGCACCGUGUCUACCUGCACACUGCCAUGCUUCCUGCUAUGAUGAUAAU